GUGCAGUAAACAUUACAAGCUCUCUCUGAGGUGUAACAUACAUUAGCCUGACAAGCCAGACCCACAUCCAGAUGUUGGGUCUGGGAACUCACCAGUGACGGAGCUCAAUCCAAGGGGUGGGAUAAACAGUUGUCUUUCAAAUUCCCUCUGCACGCAAUAAGAGAGCGCUACAACCAGGCAGAGCAACGAAGAAGGUAGCGAAGCUAGUUGAUGGAUGAAACUUUUACCGUAUCCGGUCAGCAAAACUCUGAACACAUCUUCCUUUUUUAAGAAUGACUUCAGUGUCGUUCUUUGUUCUUUUCUCAAAGAAAAGCUUAACUCCAAGUCU
This is a long non-coding RNA of Sander lucioperca (pikeperch), 328 nucleotides long. RefSeq lists it as uncharacterized. Lineage: Eukaryota; Metazoa; Chordata; Actinopteri; Perciformes; Percidae. The record is from RefSeq and is a predicted model, not a curated record. The transcript has 3 exons.